GAUGAACGCUGGCGGCGUGCCUAAUACAUGCAAGUCGAGCGAACAGACGAGGAGCUUGCUCCUCUGACGUUAGCGGCGGACGGGUGAGUAACACGUGGAUAACCUACCUAUAAGACUGGGAUAACUUCGGGAAACCGGAGCUAAUACCGGAUAAUAUAUUGAACCGCAUGGUUCAAUAGUGAAAGACGGUUUUGCUGUCACUUAUAGAUGGAUCCGCGCCGCAUUAGCUAGUUGGUAAGGUAACGGCUUACCAAGGCGACGACGCGUAGCCGACCUGAGAGGGUGAUCGACCACACUGGAACUGAGACACGGUCCAGACUCCUACGGGAGGCAGCAGUAGAGAAUCUUCCGCAAUGGGCGAAAGCCUGACGGAGCAACGCCGCGUGAGUGAUGAAGGUCUUCGGAUCGUAAAACUCUGUUAUUAGGGAAGAACAAAUGUGUAAGUAACUAUGCACGUCUUGACGGUACCUAAUCAGAAAGCCACGGCUAACUACGUG
RNAcentral lists this ribosomal RNA (497 nucleotides) under uncultured bacterium. RNAcentral's name for it is "partial 16S ribosomal RNA". It matches the Rfam family "Bacterial small subunit ribosomal RNA", at positions 28 to 507 of the family's 1533-position model. The record is from RNAcentral.